AAUAUUGCGCAAUGGGGGAAACCCUGACGCAGCAACGCCGCGUGAACGAUGAAGGCCUUCGGGUUGUAAAGUUCUUUUCUGAGGGAAGAUAAUGACGGUACCUUAGGAAUAAGUCCCGGCUAACUACGUGCCAGCAGCCGCGGUAAAACGUAGGGGGCGAGCGUUAUCCGGAUUUAUUGGGCGUAAAGCGCGCGUAGGCGGCUCUGUAAGUUGGAUGUGAAAGCUCUCGGCUUAACUGGGAGAGGUCGUUCAAUACUGCAGAGCUUGAGGUUGGAAGAGGAGAGUGGAAUUCCCGGUGUAGUGGUGGAAUGCGUAGAUAUCGGGAGGAACACCAGUGGCGAAAGCGACUCUCUGGUCCACACCUGACGCUGAGGUGCGAAAGCGUGGGGAGCGAACGGGAUUAGAUACCCCGGUAGUCCACGCCGUA
RNAcentral lists this ribosomal RNA (427 nucleotides) under uncultured marine bacterium. RNAcentral's name for it is "bacterial SSU rRNA". It matches the Rfam family "Bacterial small subunit ribosomal RNA", at positions 360 to 804 of the family's 1533-position model. The record is from RNAcentral.